AUGGGGCGGUGCCGGGGCGCAGGGCUGGCAGGGCUGGCCGCGCUGCUGCUGGUGGCUGUGGGCAGAGCCCAGGUGCUGCAGGAGCCGCCAGCAGAGACCACCGAGGGCAUCGGCAUCAGCAUCAACUGCUCGCACCCCAACAUAAAGCCUUACGACUCCAUCCACUGGUACCGUCAGCUCCCGGGACGAGGCCCCGCGUUGCUCCUGAGCACUCUCAAAGACUCCAAAGAGCUGCGGGACCCGCCGGGGCGGCUGUGGGUGUCGGCAGAGCGCCGCUCCAGCGCCCUGUGGCUCGCCCGGCCCCGGCGCGGGGACGCGGCGGUGUAUUACUGCGCUCACUUCCGCCUCCAGUACAGUCAACUCUUGGGACCCCCGUGUCACCCCAGAAAUACAAAUGGGUUCUGCCCCUCUAUAGCUUGAUGGUAUUAAAGUACACUGCGCACCCGUGUCCACUAGAGCCUUAUACUCCUGUGGGUCUGAUGUGCCA
This is a non-coding RNA of Chroicocephalus ridibundus (black-headed gull), 487 nucleotides long. Lineage: Eukaryota; Metazoa; Chordata; Aves; Charadriiformes; Laridae. The record is from the annotation of a RefSeq genome assembly.